Long non-coding RNA from Columba livia (rock pigeon), 2502 nucleotides. RefSeq lists it as uncharacterized. The record is from RefSeq and is a predicted model, not a curated record. NCBI's taxonomy places the organism in Eukaryota, Metazoa, Chordata, Aves, Columbiformes, Columbidae. The transcript is spliced from 3 exons.
AGCGGCGCGGGGCUCGGCCCGGCCUGCCCGCCCGCACUGCGCGCCCGGCCCCGCCGAGCCCGCCGGUCCGGCCCCCGCGCCCCGGCCGGCCGGGCACCGGAGAGCUGCCGCCUCCUGGGCCCGGGCGCAGCGCGGGCGCUCCGUGGCCUCGGGAGUGCCUGAGGCGGGCGCUGAAGGCCGGGGCGGCACCGCCGCCCGUUGAGGGUUUGCACUUGGCGCCCGGUGACAGCCAGCGACGGGCCCGGCCUCGGAGCAACAAAGAGGCUCUCGGGGAAAUGCCUCCAGUGCGGGAGAAGGGGGUCAAAAGUUUGUUUACACUCCCAGAUCAUGAUACCCCAAACAUGGAUUGCUAAUUGAAUGCACCCAACAACACUCGCUAUGAAAAAUAUUCGCCAUUCCAGUAUAAUCGUGCGUGUCACUCAAGUUUGUGAAGCCUUUCACUGAGCGAGGCCUCUCACUCCUCUGAUAACAAAUGCUCUGCAAGAAACCCAGGCCAGGAAGGUCUCUGAACUUGAGGAGAAGCUUCAGGAAGUCUCCGGAAAAGACAAAUUGUACACAAGUGAAACUGUUCGUGAUGUCUAAAUAUUUAUCCAGAAGGUGACAGGUGAACAAAUCACAGGUCUUGAGUUUCUCUACCCUGCCUCUCUUGGUAACGUCAUCUCCAGUACCAUCUGCUACCUACCAGACAAACAGACCAACCACAUAAUGAGGUACCAGCUUCCACCCAGCUACCGUGACUAAAUCAGAACAAAAGAUUCAACGCCUCCUUCAACAAAGGAACACAAGUCUAAGCUGUCUUUGCUAAUUGCUGGGUUUCAGGUUGUCUGUUACAGAUUUUAAGUGAGCUACAAACUUCCGUCAAAUACUUAGAGCUGUUGGAUAAAGGUACUAAGAAUAAAAGAUACAUGGAAGCAAAAGGCAAUGAUGUUGUUCUCCUAAAACGUGAGGCAGUUUGCUUCUUGUCAGCAAGAGGAGCUCAGCCCAGCUCUGCAUCUCCUGCGCUGCCGCAGACGGACUCGCCUGCUCCGCGUUCAGUUGUUCUAUGGGCUGACUUGGAAUGAGUCGGGGGAAUCAUUGCUCCAUUCAUACAGCACUUGCACUUCUUGUAUACCCCGUUAGACACUGUGGGCGAUUUUAAAGUGAAAGGGAAUAAUGAAAUAAUCUUAUUAAGAAACACUGCUCAGUUUAAAAAUAGGAGAUUUCUUGUCACAAAUCUUGUCCCCUAACUGUAAAUGAACAUGUUUGUAAUUUUUUUUCCUCAGUAUUCCAGGGCAAGAAACAUUUUGUAUCUGUUUCUUUUCCUAAAUGAUUGCUAUCCUUAGCCAGUUAGCGCAAAAAUGGUGCGUGAGUCACAGGAAAUUUAAGUGGUUUGUCUCAGGGAAAUUUGGUGGUAUGCAUUUUUUUGAUGCACAUAGAGCUGCUGAAUGAAUAAUUGGCAACCUAUUUAAUGUCCUCUGCUUUAAAGCUGUCUAGUACAUUUGCUGUUUAAAAAAAUGUCUUUCAAAGCUGUUAAAUAUGUAACAAAAAGAGGCUGCUCUCACCAUUCUGACAUGAACAAAGGCAUACAGUGAGCUGCCUGAGGUACUUCCAGCAUGGUAUUAAUUACAAACACAAUAAUAAAUGAGAAUUUGCAAAGUUCUCAAAUUCCAUUUCUUUGCAAUACCAGCUGAUGAAUGUUUUAUAAAAGCAUGCAGUAAAAAUAUCAGUCCGGGAAUUAGCUAUUAAAUAUUACCUAAGCCGAGAGUUUUGGGGAGAGCAUGGAAUCUGUUGCUCUAUAAUUUCACCAUUUCCCCCGAUUGAAUAAGAUCUCCGGCUGCCUCCGAAGCAAACCGAGCUUAAAACAGCGCACUUUCGAGAAGAUGAUCGACUAAGAUUGUGUUUUACUUUGAUUUGAAAAACUGUCAAUCAUAGAUAAAAAAGACCAAAUAUAUUCUUAUAUAAUAUCAGCUAAUUGUAUUUGUCUGGUAAACCAGGAAUGCGCAGGAAAGAGAAAUAAUAGCGUUUAAAAGGGAAAUAUUCAGAAUGUUUUGCCCAGAUGUUGUGCUGAAAUUGUCACUGGUACAGGCAAUAGAUUUCAGAUAAAAAUACAAGCAGGGAUCUAUAGAUGUGAGAGAGACAUGAGAUGCCCACGAUCCGACGUAUUUCAGUUUAUACAGCCACAGCUAUUUAAACAAUUCCAAAACUGCCUCCACGGGUGUCAAAGAGGGAGGGAAAUCUUCAACCACAUGAUCUUCUCUCCAGAGUCCUGUUAAAUCCACUGAACUUAAAACAGAACAAGAAGUGUGAAAUAUGGGUUUGAACAUGUUAUGUCAGAAAUGUAAAGGUUGGAAGCCUUUUUAGUAACCGAUAUUAAUAUUGUAUUAAAUGUUAUGAAAAGGUAGGUGUUGGAGAGAAGGGCUGGGCUCAUGUGCAAUUUUGUCAAGGUUUUUAUCUGUGAUUAUGAUUCCAGAUGUAUCUAUUCCCUGAGGAGAAAAAAUGAAGUAAAGUUGGCAUGUGACAUGU